GACGAACGCUGGCGGCGUGCCUAACACAUGCAAGUCGAACGGAGAGGACAUGAAGUAUUUCGGUACGGAAUGCUCUCUUAGUGGCGAACGGGUGAGUAAUACGUGGGCAACCUGCCCCAGACUGGGGGAUAACAUUGUGAAAACAGUGCUAAUACCGCAUGACAGGGUUCCGGGCAUCCGGGACCCUUGAAAGGAGAAAUCCGGUCAGGGAUGGGCCCGCGUCCAAUUAGCUAGUUGGCGGGGUAACGGCCCACCAAGGCGACGAUUGGUAGCCGAACUGAGAGGUUGAUCGGCCACAUUGGGACUGAGACACGGCCCAGACUCCUACGGGAGGCAGCAGUGGGGAAUAUUGGGCAAUGGGCGAAAGCCUGACCCAGCGACGCCGCGUGAAGGAUGAAGGUCUUCGGAUUGUAAACUUCUUUGAUCAGGGAAGAAGAAAUGACGGUACCUGAAAACAAGCCACGGCUAACUACGUG
This 476-nucleotide ribosomal RNA is filed under the name uncultured bacterium. Its description in RNAcentral is "bacterial SSU rRNA". It matches the Rfam family "Bacterial small subunit ribosomal RNA", at positions 28 to 507 of the family's 1533-position model. The record is from RNAcentral.